RNAcentral lists this transfer RNA (55 nucleotides) under Araneus ventricosus. RNAcentral describes it as "tRNA-Asp". Lineage: Eukaryota; Metazoa; Arthropoda; Arachnida; Araneae; Araneidae. The record is from RNAcentral.
AAUAUAUUAGUUUAAUUAAAAUAUUAGUUUGUCAAGCUAAAGAUAGAAUAAAUUC